Molecule: long non-coding RNA, 1823 nt
Filed under: Zea mays
Lineage: Eukaryota; Viridiplantae; Streptophyta; Magnoliopsida; Poales; Poaceae
Description: long non-coding RNA (ZMAY_LNC000934)
Source: RNAcentral
GCGACCGCUGCCCUAUGCGUCUUCUUCCUCGAUUCCUCGCGGGGGUAACGACCCGCCCGAGCUGCCCGCCGAACUUCGCGCCAGCUAGGUUCUGCAACCCUCCUUUGCCCUGCGCCUAUAAUACCCGAGCAGUCGUUCCCCUUCUCCUCUCUGUUCGUCCCAUCAAUUACGCCGCCGCUAGUGUGCAUCGAUUAGGAGAAUGCCGUGAGUGAAGCCGUCGCUUACCAAAUCCAAAUUGCGCCGCCGCCAUAGUGGCAACUCCGUUUUGCCUGCGCUAACACUUUGGGCAGUGCUGGUCGCGUGGAAGGCAGUGGGUGCCUCGUCUGGGUGGAUUCACGCUCUGUGCCGCCGGAAUCGCACGCCGCAGCUCCACGGUCGCCGCAGGAUCACACGUCUCCGUGGGCAGGGAUCUCGACGCAUCGACCACCGGUAAGCUACCUUCGAGCAAGUUCGUACUGCCCUGCUAUCUGUAAAUCGCACGUUAGAUCACGGAAUCGGGUACCGGGGCGCCGAUCUUGACCUCGCCGGCGUGCGCGCCGCCACGGCUUUUCCCCGCCGCCACCAUGGUUCUGUGUUGGGGAUGACACUCGUGCGCCGUCGGAUCGGCGAUGGACGUUGCAGAUAGACCCGAUGUCGCGUGUUAUGUAGGCCGUAGAUUUGGAUUUCGGUGGCCAGGAUUAAAAGUGACUUACCCCUUCUCUGCAUUUGAUCCGAGUCGUCGAUCCUCCAUCGUAUGCAUCAGAUUAGAUUUAGGUUCUUUAAAUCGUGACCGUGGGAUCCGAUCGGGCGGCUGAGAUCCGUGGAUACCCCUUCGCGGGUGCAUUUUGCAUAAGAGACCUUGGGUUAUUAGAAAACCAACCCUCAGUCCACCCUGUAUAGUGCGCUGAGUCUUAGAAAUUCUUUCGCGAAAGCCCCUGCGCUUUACAGAAAAUGUGGCCUAGUCCAGAGGAUUAUAAAAUCAGAGAAUUGAAUUUAGAAAUAGAUUUUUAAUAUUAAAUUAAUGACAGAAACUUGUUUAAUUCAUAGAAAAUGCAUAUGAACUCCAAAUUAGACCAUUCCAGUUCCUAAAUUUUCAUAAAAUUAUUGUCGAUCUUUUUGUGCCACUGUUUUGGCAUGAAAAGCACAUUAGAAUUAUUCUAGUACUUAAUCUUGUAUUAAGCACAUAAAACAUUAGAAAAUCCAUAACUUAAAAUCUAUACCUCCAAAUUUAAUGAUUCCAGUUCCUGUGAUCCUAUUUUAAUGUCUAGUUUAUUACUGUUUAUUUUAUUUGCAUGUUUGAUGUUUAAAAUCUAUACCCUGCCUCGCUUUCUAGGUAGAGGUGUAUGGGGUCUGAUCAACUCCGUGGCAAAUGGGUAACACGACUUGUGGGUAAAGAUGUGCAACCACUGCAGAGUGUAAAACUGGUAUACUAGCCGUGCUCACGGUCAUGAGCGGCUCGGACACUCACAUGAUUAAUUUAUGGAACUUAAACUUAAUCUAUCAUUUCAUUGCAUUUGGGAUUAUUUUAUUAUUACUUUUACUUAUUAUUAUAAUGGUUUGGUAUUUACUUGCACUUAGUAAUUGCUAAUAAAAUUUUGACCAACUUAAAAGCAAUGCUCAGCUUCAGCCUUAAAUCAUUGAUCAGCCUUACACUUCAUGAACUCCCACCUUUGGUGAGUUUAUGCCACAUUAUUCCCCACAACUUGUUGAGCGAUGAACGUAUGUGAGCUCACUCUUGCUGUCUCACACCCCCCUACAGGAGAAGAGCAGGUGGUUCAGGAGGAGCCACAAGGCGACGAGUAUGAUCUGAUCUAGGUGGCGUUUCUCAGUUGACAUUGGCGCCG